RNAcentral lists this ribosomal RNA (504 nucleotides) under uncultured bacterium. RNAcentral describes it as "partial 16S ribosomal RNA". It matches the Rfam family "Bacterial small subunit ribosomal RNA", at positions 30 to 523 of the family's 1533-position model. The record is from RNAcentral.
AUUGAACGCUGGCGGCAGGCCUAACACAUGCAAGUCGAACGGUAGCACAGAGAGCUUGCUCUCGGGUGAUGAGUGGCGGACGGGUGAGUAAUGUCUGGGAAACUGCCCGAUGGAGGGGGAUAACUACUGGAAACGGUAGCUAAUACCGCAUAACGUCGCAAGACCAAAGUGGGGGACCUUCGGGCCUCACACCAUCGGAUGUGCCCAGACGGGAUUAGCUAGUAGGUGGGGUAAUGGCUCACCUAGGCGACGAUCCCUAGCUGGUCUGAGAGGAUGACCAGCCACACUGGAACUGGGACACGGUCCAGACUCCUACGGGAGGCAGCAGUGGGGAAUAUUGCACAAUGGGCGCAAGCCUGAUGCAGCCAUGCCGCGUGUAUGAAGAAGGCCUUCGGGUUGUAAAGUACUUUCAGCGGGGAGGAAGGCGGUGAAGUUAAUAACUUCACCGAUUGACGUUACCCGCAGAAGAAGCACCGGCUAACUCCGUGCCAGCCGCCGCUGUAA